RNAcentral lists this ribosomal RNA (686 nucleotides) under uncultured bacterium. Its description in RNAcentral is "bacterial SSU rRNA". It matches the Rfam family "Bacterial small subunit ribosomal RNA", at positions 54 to 745 of the family's 1533-position model. The record is from RNAcentral.
CAUGCAAGUCGAGCGAGAAAGUGACUUCGGUUGCGAGUAAAGCGGCGAACGGGUGAGUACAACGUGGAUAAUCUACCCUAGGGUCUGGGACAACCCCGAAAAAUCGGAGCUAAUACCGGAUAAGACCACAGUAUCCAAGGAUACAGUGGUAAAAGAUUUAUCGCCUUUGGAUGAGUCCACGUCCCAUCAGGUAGUUGGUAAGGUAAAAGCUUACCAAGCCUAAGACGGGUAGCCGGCCUUAGCGGGUGAACGGCCACAUGGGGACUGAGACACGGCCCUGACUCCUACGGGAGGCAGCAGUGGGGAAUAUUGGGCAAUGGGCGAAAGCCUGACCCAGCGAUGCCGCGUGAGGGAUGAAGGCCUUCGGGUUGUAAACCUCUGUCAGGAGGGACGAUGGGACACUUGUGUCUUGACGGUACCUCCAGAGGAAGCCCCGGCUAACUCCGUGCCAGCAGCCGCGGUAAUACGGAGGGGGCAAGCGUUGCUCGGAAUUACUGGGCGUAAAGGGUCCGCAGGCUGUCAGGCAAGUUGGUUGUGAAAGCUCAAGGCUUAACCUUGGAAUUGCAUCCAAAACUGCCUGACUAGAGUCCAAGAGAGGUUGGCGGAAUUCCCGGUGUAGCGGUGAAAUGCAUAGAUACCGGGAGGAACACCAGAGGCGAAGGCGGCCAACUGGCUUGGAACUGACG